AGCCAGCUAAAACCUGCCGUUGCAUUUUAAAUACACGACUUUGCUCUUGAUAAAGCUCUCAACAUGUGCGCCCUUCUGUUUAACUCUCCCUAGGUGGGAUAAAAUGUAGGGAAACGAGGUUAAGUUGAGCAGAAUACGUAUUUCAAGAACUGAGUGUACUCUUUCAAUCUGAUGACUUAUCUGAGAGAAAGAGGAAAAGCAACCAAAUUGAACCUAUGACACCACAUAAUACGAGAUAACCACGUCGAGUUCUACAACAAUUCAAUUUUUAAAACAGAAAAUUUGUCUAUGAAACCAUGAACUUGGGAUUCUGUGUCUACUGUAUAGCUGUAAAUUAGGCUAUUCGGCGGUCGCCGCGGUUCUAACCUCCUUGCUCUCCCUCGUAAAUGACAAGGCACCUCUAACCUACGGCUUUGUGUCUUGUUUUUUUUCCCCUGUGUGAAUUUCAAAGCAAAAGCGAGCGGUGAAUACCUUUCAGUGGCCGGUACGCGUCGGGGUCGCCCUCUUCGCACUUAAAGACGCUGGUCCAUGCGAGGGCCAAUGCAGAUUUCGGUGGCCGAGGGGUGGAACUCGGAGCAGGCAGGGCAGAACCUUCGACCCUGAGGGACCUCCGGGCUAGCUUUGGAGUAGGCGAGACAGACAGAAACGGAGCGAGGGAGGGAGAGAGAGGGAGAGAGAACAGGAGCAAGCCUCGAUCUGGGAGAGGGGGAGUCUCGACCGCAGUGUAGUGAGAAGGGACUGCCACUGGGGUCAGAGAGCACGUUCUAGAGCACAGCCCCGCUUAGGCAUGGCGGCGUGUAUAGGGUUUGAAUAUGUAGCCUACCCCACUGUACACUGUCUGUAUGCAGGGAGGAACAGCCAUGAUAGACGCGGCGGCGCUUCCAUGUGGUGAAUUUCCAUGCUGCCGUUGUAUUUCGCGCUCUUAGAAUGUCCUUAUUAAGCUACCGAUUGAGUAUUGGGCACAAUUGUGGUGGGCUAGAUCAAAGUGCUAACUGGAUAGUGGUCUUGGACACUGAAAAGUUAAAUGGAGCAUUGGAAAGGUGUUUGUCACCUCUGAUCAUCAAAGAAGUCUGUUGACAUGCAAGGACCACGACAGGAUUGGAAACUACCCAUGAGGCAGGGAAGCUUAAUUCACCAGGCUGUCGGGGCUGUCUCCUGUUUCCUCUUAACCUUCCCCAAUGGACAUAUUAGGCCGUAAAUUUACACCCAAGGUCAACAACUCUGGGAAUCUAUUACCAUGAAGCACAAGAAAAAGGAUACCAGGAAAAGAUAGAGUGGGCCAAGGAUGAGUGAACCCCCCACCCCCCCUCCCCCCCUUUACACCAGGACAAGAGAGCUGGAUCAGGAAUAUUACCGCAGUCAUUAUAGAAAACUGUCUGCAUUUCGAAAAGGGAUCAAAGGGUAGGGCAUUUUGUCAAAACUGAUCAAUGUGGAAGUGUCAAC
Molecule: long non-coding RNA, 1443 nt
Organism: Clupea harengus (Atlantic herring)
Lineage: Eukaryota; Metazoa; Chordata; Actinopteri; Clupeiformes; Clupeidae
Source: Ensembl